This 492-nucleotide ribosomal RNA is filed under the name uncultured bacterium. RNAcentral's name for it is "partial 16S ribosomal RNA". It matches the Rfam family "Bacterial small subunit ribosomal RNA", at positions 29 to 507 of the family's 1533-position model. The record is from RNAcentral.
AGUGAACGCUGGCGGUAGGCCUAACACAUGCAAGUCGAACGGCAGCACAGUAAGAGCUUGCUCUUACGGGUGGCGAGUGGCGGACGGGUGAGGAAUACAUCGGAAUCUACUUUUUCGUGGGGGAUAACGUAGGGAAACUUACGCUAAUACCGCAUACGACCUACGGGUGAAAGCAGGGGAUCUUCGGACCUUGCGCGAUUGAAUGAGCCGAUGUCGGAUUAGCUAGUUUGCGGGGUAAAGGCCCACCAAGGCGACGAUCCGUAGCUGGUCUGAGAGGAUGAUCGGCCACACUAGAACUGAGACACGGUCCAGACUCCUACGGGAGGCAGCAGUGGGGAAUAUUGGACAAUGGGCGCAAGCCUGAUCCAGCCAUACCGCGUGGGUGAAGAAGGCCUUCGGGUUGUAAAGCCCUUUUGUUGGGAAAGAAAAGCAGCAGGUUAAUACCCCGCUGUUCUGACGGUACCCAAAGAAUAAGCACCGGCUAACUUCGUG